Molecule: ribosomal RNA, 406 nt
Filed under: uncultured bacterium
Lineage: Bacteria
Description: partial 16S ribosomal RNA
Rfam family: Bacterial small subunit ribosomal RNA
Source: RNAcentral
AUUGAACGCUGGCGGCAGGCCUAACACAUGCAAGUCGAGCGAGCGGCGGACGGGUGAGUAAUGUAUGGGGAUCUGCCCGAUAGAGGGGGAUAACUACUGGAAACGGUGGAUAAUACCGCAUACUAUAGGAUGAACCCAUAUGGGAUUAGCUAGUUGGUGGGGUAAUGGCGCACCAAGGCGACGAUCCCUAGCUGGGCUGAGAGGAUGAUCAGCCACACUGGGACUGAGACACGGCCCAGACUCCUACGGGAGGCAGCAGUGGGGAAUAUUGCACAAUGGGCGCAAGCCUGAUGCAGCCAUGCCGCGUGUAUGAAGAAGGCCCUAGGGUUGUAAACCUCUUUCGCUAUCGAACGGGUAGGUGGAGAAGAAGCGCCGGCUAACUACGUGCCAGCAGCCGCGGUAAUAC